RNAcentral lists this ribosomal RNA (253 nucleotides) under uncultured bacterium. Its description in RNAcentral is "partial 16S ribosomal RNA". It matches the Rfam family "Bacterial small subunit ribosomal RNA", at positions 524 to 776 of the family's 1533-position model. The record is from RNAcentral.
UACGUAGGGCGCGAGCGUUGUCCGGAAUUAUUGGGCGUAAAGAGCUCGUAGGUGGCUUGUCACGUCUGCCGUGAAAGCCCAUGGCUUAACUGUGGGUCUGCGGUGGAUACGGGCUGGCUAGAGGUAGGUAGGGGCAAGCGGAAUUCCUGGUGUAGCGGUGAAAUGCGCAGAUAUCAGGAGGAACACCGGUGGCGAAGGCGGCUCACUGGACCACAACUGACGCUGAGGCGCGAAAGCUAGGGGAGCAAACAGG